Helianthus annuus (common sunflower) is the source of this 2747-nucleotide long non-coding RNA. RefSeq lists it as uncharacterized. Lineage: Eukaryota; Viridiplantae; Streptophyta; Magnoliopsida; Asterales; Asteraceae. The transcript has 5 exons. The record is from RefSeq and is a predicted model, not a curated record.
GGUAUAAAAUUCAUCGAUUAUGUUUCAACCCGGUUGAUUCGCGAUUGUUGUUGAUGUCUCUGUGUAAUUCUCCUCCCUCUCCGAUCCAUUCACAAACCCAAGAUUUCAAUCUAAAGCAAUUGACGAUCUUUACUUUAUGUAUCACUCAUAUAUGUUCGUAUUUUAGGGUUUUUUAAACAACUGUUAUUUAAUCUAAAAUCUGAAUCUUGAAUCGUGUUUGAUGUUUUUUUUAUGGCGAGUCAGAGCAUUAACCAGAUACAUGACCUAAUUUCUUUAUUUUACUUUAAUAUUUGUGUGAUUUGAUCAGAUACAUGACUUAAUUUCUUUAUUUCCCCCAAUCGAUGUGCGUUUUGUUCAGAUAAAUGUCCUAAUUUCAUUUUUUUCGAAUGGAAGAAUUUCACUUGGUGAUGUUUUGUAUCUGAAUUUCUAUAUUUUAUAAUUAGUUUUUUCUUUCUUUAAAGUUCAGAAGGUAGAUUGUAUGAGGAUAUGAACACUUUUUUUGCCAUUGAAGAAUAUAUUAUAAACGGUACGGUUGUAUGUAAAUUCUUUUGGAUAUGAAUUAUAUUGUGCAUUGGUUAUUGUAUGUAUACAAGUAUUAGGUUUGAUAUCCAGUAUUUUGUUUACAAUUGAAAAGUUUUAAGACGCACACCAAGUGCUUGAUGAAAUGCUUCAGCAAAAGUGACUUCUAUUUCACAUGUUUUUAAUUGGGUUCUUAGUGUUCCAUGCUCUUUAAUUACAAAUUUAUUUGAGAUGUAAUUUAAUUUUUCUAUAGUAGUCUACAUUAUAAUAGUUAUACAUAUAAGUUGCUUUCUAACUGUUGAUGUCAACUUUGUUCCAAAACAUUUAUGGAAUAUGUUGCUGGAGGAGAGCUAUUUGACAAGUUUGUAGCGCAGCGCUUCAGUGACGAUGAGGUUCUACUAUCAGUCAAACAUAGCAAUCUAUAUUGUUAUAAAAUAAGUAACUAUAAAAACAUAAUAGGCUAACGACAAGUUUACAUGUAUUUUCUGGGCAGCGAAAAAUUUGCAGAGAUGAAACGCGAGACUGUAAAAUCGUCGGUCAUGUCAACAUUCUGAUAUGGCACUAAAGGAUACUAAAAACGACAUGUCAACAAGUGGCUUUAAACCGGGUAUGGUUGUGGCUUUUUUUCAUGAUUCUUCUAUCUCAAAUUCGUCUUAACCUCUAAUUCUUUGGUCUUUAAUGAAAGUUAUCGAAAACUAUGGAGUGUUGGAAUUGACUAUAUUGGCGAAAAUCGUCAAAGAAAAGCCCUAUCUAUUGAACUAUUAACACUCUUUUCUCAAAGGUAUCACACAAUAUUUUGCUUUUGUGGAAGAAAGGCAAAAGAUUCACCCCCUCAACACUCUUUUCUCAAAGGUCAAUGAGCUAAAAGCUGCUCUUGGACCGCUUAUGGGGCGUAGCUUACUAUACUGCAUUGAUGCAUGCUUGAGAAGAUAUUUGGAAGCCUGAAACUGGAAUGUAGAGAAAGCAAAAAGAUGUUGGAAGAAACACUUGCAUGGAGAUCAACCUAUAAACUUGAAGAAAUCUGUUGGGUAGCGUUUCAUGCACUAAAAUUUGCAAAACCAGUUAGAGAACUUGGUAACUGAAUUGCAAGAAGAAUCUGGAUUGAAGGCCCGAUUACAUUGUUCAAUCAUCCACCAUCCAGAGCCGAAGAGGAAACAGCUGGAACAACUUUGAUGUGGCAAUGGUACCAUGAGCUGGUAAACACGGCUGAAAUCAAUAAACUGCAGCAAAUUUGUCAUCUUGGCUUCCGCAUGUCUAUCUAUGAAUGAUGAUUGAUGGGUUUGGAGCUGCAUCAUACAAGUACGUUCUUGGCCAGCAAUACAAAGUAACGCUUUCAAUCUUACAACAAGUCCCAACCAUCAUAUAUAUUUAUGUGUAACUGGGUUCCUAAAAAGGUUGGUGUGUGAUUACUUUUUUCGAGUCAAAAUGGACAGGGUCGGGUUUGACCCAAUAAUCAUCUUUUAUCUUCUGUUUAAUUUACAUGUUAAAUAUGUUCUAGAAAAAGUACAUGUUGAUGGAGUGAGUAGGUGAAGUUGAUUUCAGGAUAUCUCCAACUGAGAUAACUGUUGCGAUUGAACAAGGUUUGAAGGAACCGGUAGAACCCGUGACUGAGGUAUUUAGUCAUGAAUUGUAUAUGUAAGGUUUGGUACAAUUAUAAUUGUAUAUGUUUAUCGAAUUCUUUUAUGUUUUUAUAUGCAGUUUAAGGUACCAAAGGACUUAAUAACCUCAACAUAGGUAACACAGGUGAAAGAUUUGAAGUUACAACUUUAACUGUCUUUUGUACCUACGGGUUCAUCAUAUUCUAACGCUCUUAGAUUCAAUCGACUAAUUUCUUUUAGAACGAAAAUCAGCUUCAUAUGUAUGUAUUUUGUGUUAAAGCUUCAUCUCAAAUUAGAUACCUAAAUUUGAAGAACUCGAUACCAUGAACAUGCUUCUCCGUCAAUGUAUUGUUUUCUUGGGAACCAAGGUAUUUAUACUAUGUUAAACAAUCACUAAAAUCUACGUUUACUCUUUCAAGGGAUGCAGCAUUGGGAGACAACUCCAGCCACUACAAUGGUGAAUAGUGAUAAAUCCAACCAUUGUAAACAUAUCCCACCACAUUUGCAGGUCAGCCAAAAACAUGUUUUUUUAUAAUACUGGCAACAAUAUGCAUGUACAGGCUUCAAAGACUACCACCAAAGACAACAACACAAUUCAACAAGAACUUAGUUUGCAUAGCUCAUUUCCAA